Molecule: long non-coding RNA, 502 nt
Organism: Ictalurus punctatus (channel catfish)
Lineage: Eukaryota; Metazoa; Chordata; Actinopteri; Siluriformes; Ictaluridae
Source: Ensembl
GUAAAUUGUCUGUUGUGUGUAUGCCUUGUGCUUUGUACACGAUUCCAGGGCUUUCAGGACCAUGGGGUUUUAAUGAUGUGCUGCAUCACUGAAUUCCCAAACGACUCGAGGCCUCACAAGGCGUAUCAUGGGGGAGCCUGAAGCCUAUUCCAGGGAGCUCGGGGCACAAGGCAGGGGACACCGUGGAUGGGGUACCAACCGGUCACAGGGUACAAUCACACACACUACAGACAAAGUGGAAACGCCAAUCAGCCUACAAUGCAUGUCUUUGUACCGGGAGAGGAAGCCGGAGUACCCUGAGGAAACCCCUGAAGCACCCCUAACCCUGAAGGUGCGAGGCAGACGUGCCCAUGUGAUUCCUCCCCCUACACGAUUCAUUUAUUAUCAAGUGCAACUUUUCAUGAUUCAUUGCUUUUUACAUGUGAAUUUUUUUUCGUCAGAUUUUCACAACAAUGUUUUUGUUUUCAAUGGAUUCAUUCAUUUCUACAUGUGAUUCCCCCCC